UGCGGUUAUACAAAAAUUAAAUUAAAUUUUUUUAGGAUUUAAUUAAUAAAAUUAAAAUUAAUAAUAAUUUAAAUUUUAAAUUAUAAAGUGAAAUUUUAAUUUAAUUAAAAUUUAUUUAUUUUUAUGAUAUUAAUAAAUUUUAUAAAAAACUAGGAUUAGAUACCCUAUUAUAAAAAUUUAAAUUAAAAUAAUCUUAAAAUAGUAUAUAAUUUUUUAUAGAAACUUAAAUAAUUUGGCGGUAUUUUAGUUCAUUUAGAGGAAUCUGUCUAAUAAUUGAUAAUCCACGAUUAAAUUUACUUAAUUUUUAAUUUUGUAUAUCGUUGUUAAAAAAAUAUUUUUAAAUAAUUUUAAUAUUUUAGAAUUUAUAUUAAAAAUUAAAUCAGAUCAAGAUGCAGAUUAUAAUUAAGAAUAUGAUGGAUUACAAUAAAUUUUAUUUAAUUUGGAUAUUAAUUUGAAAUAAGUUAAUUGAAAUUGGAUUUAAAUGUAAUUUUAUUUAUUUUAAUAAAAUGAUUAAAAAUUAAAAUAUGUACAUAUUGCCCGUCGCUUUCAUUAAUAAAUUGAAAUAAGUCGUAACAAAGUAGAGGUACUGGAAAGUGUUUCUAGAAAGAU
RNAcentral lists this ribosomal RNA (609 nucleotides) under Zygaena fusca. RNAcentral describes it as "Zygaena haematina fusca partial 12S ribosomal RNA". Lineage: Eukaryota; Metazoa; Arthropoda; Insecta; Lepidoptera; Zygaenidae. The record is from RNAcentral.